GGAUACCACUGAGAAAUCGGUACUAAUACCGCAUAACACUAUGAGAGGCAUCUCUUGUGGUUGAAAGUUUCGGCGGUUACAGAUGGGCAUGCGUUGUAUUAGCUGGUUGGUAAGGUAACGGCUUACCAAGGCGACGAUACAUAGGGGGACUGAGAGGUUAACCCCCCACAUUGGUACUGAGACACGGACCAAACUCCUACGGGAGGCAGCAGUGAGGAAUAUUGGUCAAUGGACGGAAGUCUGAACCAGCCAUGCCGCGUGCAGGAAGACGGCUCUAUGAGUUGUAAACUGCUUUUGUACAAGGGUAAACCUGAAUACGUGUAUUCAGCUGAAAGUAUUGUACGAAUAAGGAUCGGCUAACUCCGUGCCAGCAGCCGCGGUAAUACGGAGGAUCCAAGCGUUAUCCGGAUUUAUUGGGUUUAAAGGGUGCGUAGGCGGAUUGAUAAGUUAGAGGUGAAAUGUCCGAGCUCAACUCGGGAACUGCCUCUAAUACUGUUGAUCUAGAGAGUAGAUGCGGUAGGCGGAAUGUAUGGUGUAGCGGUGAAAUGCUUAGAGAUCAUACAGAACACCGAUUGCGAAGGCAGCUUACCAAUCUAUAUCUGACGUUGAGGCACGAAAGCGUGGGGAGCAAACAGGAUUAGAUACCCUGGUAGCCCACGCAGUAAACG
RNAcentral lists this ribosomal RNA (668 nucleotides) under uncultured bacterium. RNAcentral describes it as "bacterial SSU rRNA". It matches the Rfam family "Bacterial small subunit ribosomal RNA", at positions 141 to 808 of the family's 1533-position model. The record is from RNAcentral.